Molecule: ribosomal RNA, 456 nt
Filed under: Streptococcus mutans
Lineage: Bacteria; Bacillati; Bacillota; Bacilli; Lactobacillales; Streptococcaceae
Description: bacterial SSU rRNA
Rfam family: Bacterial small subunit ribosomal RNA
Source: RNAcentral
GCAAUGGACGAAAGUCUGACCGAGCAACGCCGCGUGAGUGAAGAAGGUUUUCGGAUCGUAAAGCUCUGUUGUAAGUCAAGAACGUGUGUGAGAGUGGAAAGUUCACACAGUGACGGUAGCUUACCAGAAAGGGACGGCUAACUACGUGCCAGCAGCCGCGGUAAUACGUAGGUCCCGAGCGUUGUCCGGAUUUAUUGGGCGUAAAGGGAGCGCAGGCGGUCAGGAAAGUCUGGAGUAAAAGGCUAUGGCUCAACCAUAGUGUGCUCUGGAAACUGUCUGACUUGAGUGCAGAAGGGGAGAGUGGAAUUCCAUGUGUAGCGGUGAAAUGCGUAGAUAUAUGGAGGAACACCAGUGGCGAAAGCGGCUCUCUGGUCUGUCACUGACGCUGAGGCUCGAAAGCGUGGGUAGCGAACAGGAUUAGAUACCCUGGUAGUCACGCGUAAACGAUGAGUGCUA